Molecule: small RNA, 101 nt
Filed under: Propithecus coquereli (Coquerel's sifaka)
Lineage: Eukaryota; Metazoa; Chordata; Mammalia; Primates; Indriidae
Description: Y RNA (ENSPCOG00000002414.1)
Source: RNAcentral
CCCUUGUCCCAAGGAAAGCAGAAGACCCUCGUUAUCUACUUAACAGUUACAGAUUCCUUUGUUCCUUCUCCCAUCCCACUGCUUUGUUUGACUAGCUUUAA